RNAcentral lists this ribosomal RNA (445 nucleotides) under uncultured Thermotoga sp. Its description in RNAcentral is "bacterial SSU rRNA". It matches the Rfam family "Bacterial small subunit ribosomal RNA", at positions 338 to 774 of the family's 1533-position model. The record is from RNAcentral. Lineage: Bacteria; Thermotogati; Thermotogota; Thermotogae; Thermotogales; Thermotogaceae.
CCUACGGGAGGCAGCAGUGGGGAAUCUUGGACAAUGGGCGAAAGCCUGAUCCAGCGACGCCGCGUGGGGGAUGAAGCCCUUCGGGGUGUAAACCCCUGUUGCGAGGGAGGAAUAAGGCCUGGAGGAAAUGCCAGGCCGAUGACUGUACCUCGCGAGGAAGCCCCGGCUAACUACGUGCCAGCAGCCGCGGUAAUACGUAGGGGGCGAGCGUUACCCGGAUUCACUGGGCGUAAAGCGGGUGUAGGCGGCUCGGUAAGUCGGGUGUGAAAUCCCACAGCUCAACUGUGGAAUUGCGCCCGAAACUGCUGAGCUUGGGGCCGGUAGAGGGAGACGGAACUGCCGGUGUAGGGGUGAAAUCCGUAGAUAUCGGCAGGAACGCCGGUGGGGAAGCCCGGUCUCCUGGGCCGCGCCCGACGCUGAGACCCGAAAGCUAGGGGAGCAAACC